GCGUUGAAAAGCUCGGGGAUGACUUGUGGGUAGCGGUGAAAUUCCAAUCGAGCCCGGAGAUAGCUGGUUCUCCCCGAAAUAGCUUUAGGGCUAGCCUCAAGGUGAGAGAUACGGAGGUAGAGCACUGAAUGUCCUAGGGGGUAUUGCACCUACCGAAGACUAUCAAACUCCGAAUGCCGUCAUCUUAUACUUGGGAGUCAGACUGUGGGUGAUAAGAUUCAUAGUCGAAAGGGCAACAGCCCAGAUCGUCAGCUAAGGUCCCUAAAUGUAAGUUAAGUGGUAAAGGAUGUGGGAUUGCACAGACAACCAGGAUGUUGGCUUAGAAGCAGCCACUCAUUCAAAGAGUGCGUAAUAGCUCACUGGUCGAGUGAUCCUGCGCCGAAGAUUUCCGGGGCUAAAACUUACUACCGAAGCUACGGCAUCAGUAAUGAUGGGUAGGGGAGCUUCCCAUACGGGUUGAAGCAUGACCGUAAGGACAUGUGGACAGUAUGGGAGUGAGAAUGUUGGCAUGAGUAGCGAGAUGUGGGUGGGAAUCCCACAGGCCGUAAACCCAAGGUUUCCAGGGGAAGGUUCGUCCGCCCUGGGUUAGUCGGGACCUAAGCUGAGGCCGAACGGCGUAGGUGAUGGACAACAGGUUGAUAUUCCUGUACUACCGAUAACCGUUUGAGAGAAGGGAUGACACAGUAGGAUAAGCUAAGCACACUGUUGGUUAUGUGUGCCCAAGCAUUGAGGCAGUCAAAGUAGGCAAAUCCGCUUUGAUAAUGCUGGGGUGUGAUGGGGAGCGAAAUUUAGUAGCGAAGUAGCUGAUUUCACACUGUCAAGAAAAGUCUCUAUCGAGGUUAAAGGUACCCGUACCGCAAACCGACACAGGUGGGUGAGGAGAGUAUCCUAAGGCCAGCGAGAGAACUGUUGUUAAGGAACUCGGCAAAAUGACCCCGUAACUUAGGGAUAAGGGGUGCCACCAUCAGGUGGCCGCAGAGAAUAGGCCCAAGCGACUGUUUACCAAAAACAUAGGUUUCUGCUAAGUCGCAAGACGAUGUAUAGGAGCUGACGCCUGCCCGGUGCUGGAAGGUUAAGGGGAUCUGUUAGAGCAAUCGAAGCAGUGAACUUAAGCCCCAGUAAACGGCGGCCGUAACUAUAACGGUCCUAAGGUAGCGAAAUUCCUUGUCGGGUAAGUUCCGACCCGCACGAAAGGCGUAACGAUUUGGGCACUGUCUCAACAACAGACUCGGUGAAAUUGUAAUUCCGGUGAAGAUGCCGGAUACCUG
RNAcentral lists this ribosomal RNA (1268 nucleotides) under Clostridioides difficile. Its description in RNAcentral is "bacterial LSU rRNA". It matches the Rfam family "Bacterial large subunit ribosomal RNA", at positions 786 to 2072 of the family's 2925-position model. The record is from RNAcentral. Lineage: Bacteria; Bacillati; Bacillota; Clostridia; Peptostreptococcales; Peptostreptococcaceae.